UACAAAGGAAUUGACGGGCCCGCACAAGCAGCGGAGCGUGUGGUUUAAUUCGAUGUUACACGAGAACCUUACCAGGGUUUGACAUGCAAGUGGUAGGAAGCCGAAAGGUGACCGACCCUUCGGGGAGCUUGCACAGGUGCUGCAUGGCUGUCGUCAGCUCGUGUCGUGAGAUGUUCGGUUAAGUCCGCUAACGAGCGCAACCCUCGCUGUGUGUUAUAUGUGUCACACGGGGACUGCCGGUCUUAAGCCGGAGGAAGGUGGGGAUGAUGUCAAGUCAGCAUGGCCUUUAUAUCCUGGGCUACACACACGCUACAAUGGCCAACACAAUAGGUUGCUAAGCCGCGAGGUGGCGCCAAUCCAUAAAGUUGGUCUCAGUUCAGAUUGUAGGCUGCAACCCGCCUGCAUGAAGAUGGAGUUGCUAGUAACCGCAGGUCAGCUAUACUGCGGUGAAUACGUUCCCGGGGCUU
RNAcentral lists this ribosomal RNA (467 nucleotides) under uncultured Leptolinea sp. Its description in RNAcentral is "bacterial SSU rRNA". It matches the Rfam family "Bacterial small subunit ribosomal RNA", at positions 903 to 1382 of the family's 1533-position model. Lineage: Bacteria; Bacillati; Chloroflexota; Anaerolineae; Anaerolineales; Anaerolineaceae. The record is from RNAcentral.